This 222-nucleotide ribosomal RNA is filed under the name uncultured Pseudonocardia sp. Its description in RNAcentral is "partial 16S ribosomal RNA". It matches the Rfam family "Bacterial small subunit ribosomal RNA", at positions 28 to 252 of the family's 1533-position model. The record is from RNAcentral. Lineage: Bacteria; Bacillati; Actinomycetota; Actinomycetes; Pseudonocardiales; Pseudonocardiaceae.
GACGAACGCUGGCGGCGUGCUUAACACAUGCAAGUCGAACGGUAAGGCCCUUUCGGGGGUACACGAGUGGCGAACGGGUGAGUAACACGUGGGUGACCUGCCCCUUACUCUGGGAUAAGCCUGGGAAACUGGGUCUAAUACCGGAUAUGACCUCAUGCUGCAUGGUGUGGGGUGGAAAGUUUUUUCGGUGGGGGAUGGGCCCGCGGCCUAUCAGCUUGUUGG